Long non-coding RNA from Octopus bimaculoides (California two-spot octopus), 2653 nucleotides. Lineage: Eukaryota; Metazoa; Mollusca; Cephalopoda; Octopoda; Octopodidae. The record is from RefSeq and is a predicted model, not a curated record.
AUUAACUGCAGUACAGGCUGCAGCAUUUCCCUCUGCUAGGAUUGUUCCUCUUGAAUUUUUUCAAUUGUGGUGAAUAGCCACUAAUCCUGAACUGAAAUAGAAAGUUGGAAAAAAGGUAGGGUAGAGUUACAAAAUACUUGCUGAGUAUACUUCAUGACAUUAGUACAAGUUUGAGGCUUAUUAUAAACAUUUGUAUGAGUUCCAAUAUGUUCUAUUGACAAUCAGAUACCAAUGUUAUUCACUGUGUGAAGGGAAAUACAUGUAAUUCCCUGUUUACUUUUCAUUUUAUUUUGUAUUGGGAACUAAUUUUCUCAGAUGAUGAGGAUGAUGAUGGAUGCUUCUAAAGCCACUGCCUGUCAUUCAGUUUCCAAAAGAGAGAGCAUCUCAACCUCACUUGUCUCAAUAGCCAAGUAGAUAUCCACAGCCAACUGACAUUCACAAUAUGCCAAAAGAAAGAAGUGCAAAUAUAGCUCCUCUCAACUUGUCAGGAAAAUCUGAGCAGUUGUUGCAUGAGACAAGAAACCUUCCUGAUACAAUUCAUUUCUCUCGUCAAAAGGAUGUUGAGGUUUUAGAAGCUGAGUUAAGUGAUGGUGCGGUUCAAAACAUGGUUAAUUACCUUGCUGUGCUUGGGGGUAAAAAUACUAGUGAAACAGUGUGAAGAAUACUAUGCCAUGUCCUGACCAGCAAAUUAAGCAAGUUAUAUGACUGGUAUGGCAAAAAAGACAAACUUUCAUUUGGCCAGUUGAAACUUUCAUCAGUGAUUCACAGGGCUGUUCGCAAGACUAUGAAAAAUGCAACAGAAGCAGAGGUUGAGUUGGUGACUCGAAAAUGGACUGCCAGUGACAGAAAUGGUGGCUGAAGGAGAAGAGAAAUAAAUUUGGACAUGACAGCUCUUGACAAUGAAUCUGCCACAGAUCUUGGGUCUGCACAAAUUGAAAAUUAAGAUAACCCAUUUACAGGUUACCUCAAUUUUCUAAGUCAUUUGACUGCGGCCAUGCUGAAGCACCACCUUUAUUCGAGCAAAUCGACCCUAGGAAUAUUCUUUGUAAGCCUAGUACUUAUUCUAUCAGUCUUUCUUGCCAAACCGCUAAGUUACGUAAACACACCAGCAUCAGUUGUCAAGCGAUGUUGGGGGGACAAACACAGACACACAAACAUAUAUAUAUAUAUAUGCGACAGGCUUCUUUCAGUUUCCAUCUACCAAAUCCACUCACAAGGCUUUGGUCGGCUAUAGUAGAUGACACUUGCCUAAGGUGCCACGCAGUGGGACUGAACCCAGAACCAUGUGGUUGGUAAGCAAGCUACUUACCACACAGCCACUCCUGCGCCUCAGUUGUUCAUUUAAAAAUUUGUUUUCUGGCAAUUUCUACAUGAUUUUUCAGAUAUUCUCAUACACAUGCCAUGUAAACUGAUGUUCAUACACUUACAUCUUCAAAAUAGAUUUAAUAUUGUUUCUAUUUAGCAAUGGGUGGUGCCUUAGGUGCCUAUAACUUUGGAAAGUUGAACUAUGAACUUUUAUGCUUCUUUUUAUUCUCUCUUUCCAUCUCCGUUUUCUAUUACUCUCUUCCUCUGUUAUCAUCUUAUUAAUAUAUAGCCUACCAUUUUCCCCCCUAUUUAUCUCUGAAUAUUCCAGGAAUAUUCCAGGAAUACUCGGGAAUAUUCCAGAAAAAGCUGUAAGAUUUUGAAAUUCUUCCUAUAAUAAUAUUGUAUAUGACGUGAGAUGUUUGACUUGCCUUAAUGUUUGACGUCUCAUUUAACAAUUAUAUAUCCGCUGCAUCAGAAAUCUGCAAUGGCUCCAUAACUACCGUCUCAUUACAGAACUUACCUAGCGUAUAUAAUCACCUGUGAACUAAACUCCCAUACUGUAUAUAUCUUUAUAUAUAUAUAUAUAUAUAUAUAUAUAUAUAGAUAUACGUAGGUAAAUUGAAAAUUAGAGGUAAUACUUGACAAUUGUAAGCACCUGUGUAUUCCAGCUGGUGGUUGCGGUGAAGGAAUAAAUUGUAAAUCCAAAAGAAAAAAAUAACAACAAAACUACAAAGGAUUCCGCGGUACACGUGUUUCAAGCUCUACAUGUGUAUAAUAUAAUAUAACAUAAUAUAAUAUAACAUAAUAUAAUGAUGAUGAUGAAUAUGUGUAUAAUCUACAAUGUAAAGCUAUCUUCAGCCGCAAAAAUUAUCUCUCUCCCAGGAAAUUAUACCAUCUUGAGGUUGAAGUAAGAAGAAAUGUGUGAUGUAAGAGGUGAAGAUCCUUUCGGUAUUUUGUAUAGUACUAUAUCUGGCAUAAAAAAGGCCAAGAAUAAACUUACCAUUCAAAGAACUGACCAGCUAUAAACAUGAUUUUCUUCUUUUCUCUUUCCCAUUGACACUCCUUUUAGAUACACAGGUACAUACACACGUACACACACAGACACACACACCAACACAAAAACACACACACCCACCCUCUCUCUAUCUCUCACUUUUCCCUCCAUUCCUCACCCUCUCUUACUAUCCUAUAUAUCUUUCUCUCCACCCCUAUACACUCAAUAAAACUAUAUAAAGAGACGGCAUCGCAAGGUGAAAUAAAAAAUUUGAAAAUCCUACAAGAUUAGGUGAAGAGCGCUCUAUAUGAUUUAUAAAACAUGUGACAUGUUAAUAAAAAUCUGUAAAUGUAC